This 630-nucleotide ribosomal RNA is filed under the name uncultured bacterium. RNAcentral describes it as "bacterial SSU rRNA". It matches the Rfam family "Bacterial small subunit ribosomal RNA", at positions 741 to 1380 of the family's 1533-position model. The record is from RNAcentral.
UGACACUCAGACGCGAAAGCUAGGGUAGCAAACGGGAUUAGAGACCCCGGUAGUCCUAGCCCUAAACGAUGUCGACUUGACGUCGGUGGCUUAAUCGUCAUCGGUGUCGUAGCUAACGCGAUAAGUCGACCGCCUGGGGACUACGGCCGCAAGGUUAAAACUCAAAGGAAUUGACGGGUCCCCGCACAAGCAGCGGAGCGUGUGGUUUAAUUCGUUGCUACACGAAGAACCUUACCUGGGUUUGACAUAGCAGUGGUAGGGAAGCGAAAGCGGACCGACCCUUCGGGGAGCUGUUACAGGUGUUGCAUGGCUGUCGUCAGCUCGUGUCGUGAGAUGUUCGGUUAAGUCCGCUAACGAGCGCAACCCUCGUGAUGUGUUACAAGUGUCACAUCAUACUGCCGGUAUUAAGUCGGAGGAAGGUGGGGAUGACGUCAAGUCAGCAUGACCUUUAUAUCCAGGGCUACACACACGCUACAAUGGUCUGUACAAUAGGUUGCCAAGCCGCGAGGCGGAGCCAAUCCUAAAAAGCAGGCCUCAGUUCAGAUUGCAGUCUGCAACUCGACUGCAUGAAGUUGGAGUUGCUAGUAAACGCAGGUCAGCUAUACUGCGUGAAUACUGUCCCUUUGGGCG